UUGGAAUCAAAUGCCCCUCUAGGAUUGAGUCUCUUUUACCCAAACCACUUUUGAAUCUUGUCAACUUUGUCUGUAAGAAACAUUUAGACUUAUCUUACUCUUAUCAGUACAGAGGUCUUACUUCUUUGGCAAGCAUAUAUAAAACUGUAGGGGAGAGCAGCCCAAUCCAUCUGUUUUAUGUGCCCUCCCUACUUCACCUGCUUCUCCCCUAACCCUUGACCACCCCAGCUUGAGGACUAGAAAGUGAGGGGAGUGGAGAGUGAUUCACAAGGUGCAAGAAAAGAAAUCCUAAAAACAAAUGAACAAAUGGACUCGGUCCACGGACACCUAGCCAAGACUGUCUCUGAGAAGAAUGACAUGCCUUCAGCAUGAAGUAGCUACAAGAAAAGGACAUGUAAUUAAGGAGGAAAAAAAAAAUCAGAAACUGGAGCCAUUAAAGAGACUGUGAUAUGAGGAAAACAUUGUACAGGAGAUGUGACCGAAGAUCUCAGAUCUGAGAACUGAAAGGGAAUGAAACUAGUUAAAAUUCCACUGCUCAUUCGCUCCACGGGAGAAAUAACAUUCCUGUGCGAUGCCACUUGCCACUUCAUUUUUAGAAACAAUUAAAAGAU
RNAcentral lists this long non-coding RNA (611 nucleotides) under Homo sapiens (human). RNAcentral describes it as "HSALNT0294045". The record is from RNAcentral. Lineage: Eukaryota; Metazoa; Chordata; Mammalia; Primates; Hominidae.